Molecule: transfer RNA, 71 nt
Filed under: Loxodonta africana (African savanna elephant)
Lineage: Eukaryota; Metazoa; Chordata; Mammalia; Proboscidea; Elephantidae
Rfam family: tRNA
About the family: Transfer RNA (tRNA) molecules are approximately 80 nucleotides in length. Their secondary structure includes four short double-helical elements and three loops (D, anti-codon, and T loops).
Source: Rfam by way of RNAcentral
UUAUUGGUGGUUCAGUGGUAUAAUUCUCACCUUCCACGUGGGAGGCCCCGGUUCAAUUCCUGGCUAGUGCA